Molecule: non-coding RNA, 29 nt
Filed under: Rattus norvegicus (Norway rat)
Lineage: Eukaryota; Metazoa; Chordata; Mammalia; Rodentia; Muridae
Source: RNAcentral
UCCACUGAGGCUCCAUGACUCCCCGUGUC